RNAcentral lists this ribosomal RNA (253 nucleotides) under uncultured bacterium. RNAcentral describes it as "partial 16S ribosomal RNA". It matches the Rfam family "Bacterial small subunit ribosomal RNA", at positions 524 to 776 of the family's 1533-position model. The record is from RNAcentral.
UACGAAGGGGGCGAGCGUUGUUCGGAAUUACUGGGCGUAAAGGGCGCGCAGGCGGUCCUUCAAGUCAGAUGUGAAAGCCCCGGGCUCAACCUGGGAACAGCAUUUGAGACUGGAGGACUUGAGGACGGGAGAGGAGAGUGGAAUUCCCAGUGUAGAGGUGAAAUGCGUAGAGAUCGGGAGGAAGGCCGGUGGCGAAGGCGGCGCUCUGGAACGUACCUGACGCUGAGGAGCGAAAGCGUGGGGAGCGAACAGG